Lutra lutra (Eurasian river otter) is the source of this 239-nucleotide long non-coding RNA. RefSeq lists it as uncharacterized. The record is from RefSeq and is a predicted model, not a curated record. The transcript has 3 exons. NCBI's taxonomy places the organism in Eukaryota, Metazoa, Chordata, Mammalia, Carnivora, Mustelidae.
CAAAAGUCCAUGAAGAAGGGGGCACUUCUCAGCAACUCUGGAAACCAUCGGUAAGAACUGAACAAAAUUAUACUUCUUCAGAAUAAUUAAAAAGUACCAGCAGUUAACUUCCUCUUCAGGAAGGCGAAUGCAGACCGCCAUUACUGACUGCCUCUGGGACAUUCCUGUCAUCCUACCCCAACCUGCUGUCCUCAUGGGAACUUCCUGUAGACUGUCAUGACAGGUUACCAUCAGAUGAC